CCUGCCCCCCGUAGCUCCGUAGCGAACGAAGUGAGUGAGGAGCGGAGGGGGGAGGAACGUCCGGGCAUCACUGGAACGCCGAGUGGGUAACGCCCAUCCGCCCGCCAUAUAUCCGGUAAAGGCGGGUGCGGAAUAGUGCCACAGAGACGAGCCCCUGCGCCCCCACGUGGUACAGAGGAGUGAAACGCCUCGGGAACCGAGGACGCGUACCCUCGCGGUACGCGGCGGCAAACUCUCGGUGAUGCAAGGAGGAUUUGGGUCGUCGGAUCUCGCAGUGGUUCCGCUGCACCGACCACCCCUCCGCUCGAGACCGCGGGCAACCGCGGCCCUAGAGAGAUGGUCACCUUCGGCCCCGCAAGGGCAACCGAAACAGAACCCGGCGUACGGGGGACAGGCGUG
Molecule: RNase P RNA, 399 nt
Filed under: Candidatus Peribacteria bacterium RIFOXYD2_FULL_58_15
Lineage: Bacteria; Candidatus Peregrinibacteriota; Candidatus Peribacteria
Also listed under: 1 other name
Description: RNase P RNA component class A
Rfam family: Bacterial RNase P class A
About the family: Ribonuclease P (RNase P) is a ubiquitous endoribonuclease, found in archaea, bacteria and eukarya as well as chloroplasts and mitochondria. Its best characterised activity is the generation of mature 5'-ends of tRNAs by cleaving the 5'-leader elements of precursor-tRNAs.
Source: RNAcentral